Molecule: non-coding RNA, 21 nt
Filed under: Caenorhabditis elegans
Lineage: Eukaryota; Metazoa; Nematoda; Chromadorea; Rhabditida; Rhabditidae
Source: RNAcentral
UAUGAAUUUAAUUGUGAGAUC